UUGAUCAUGGCUCAGGACGAACGCUGGCGGCGUGCUUACACAUGCAAGUCGAGCGAGGUCCAUCCAGUCGCAAGACUGGGGAAGACCUAGCGGCGAACGGGUGAGUAACACGUGAGCAACCUGCCCCGAAGACUGGGAUAACACCGGGAAACCGGUGCUAAUACCGGAUGUCCUCCCCUGGUCGCAUGGCCUAAGGAGGAAAGGAAUUUUGCUUCGGGAGGGGCUCGCGGGCUAUCAGCUUGUUGGUGAGGUAACGGCUCACCAAGGCGACGACGGCUAGCUGGUCUGAGAGGACGACCAGCCACACUGGGACUGAGACACGGCCCAGACUCCUACGGGAGGCAGCAGUGGGGAAUCUUGCGCAAUGGGCGAAAGCCUGACGCAGCAACGCCGCGUGGGGGAUGAAUGCCUUCGGGUUGUAAACCCCUUUCAGCAGGGACGAAAAUGACGGUACCUGCAGAAGAAGCCCCGGCCAACUACGUGCCAGCAGCCGCGGUAAUACGUAGGGGGCGAGCGUUGUCCGGAUUUAUUGGGCGUAAAGAGCUCGUAGGCGGCUUGGCAAGUCGGGUGUGAAACCUCCAGGCUCAACCUGGAGACGCCACUCGAUACUGCCAUGGCUAGAGUCCGGUAGGGGACCACGGAAUUCCUGGUGUAGCGGUGAAAUGCGCAGAUAUCAGGAGGAACACCGGUGGCG
RNAcentral lists this ribosomal RNA (694 nucleotides) under uncultured bacterium. Its description in RNAcentral is "bacterial SSU rRNA". It matches the Rfam family "Bacterial small subunit ribosomal RNA", at positions 13 to 717 of the family's 1533-position model. The record is from RNAcentral.